Molecule: long non-coding RNA, 924 nt
Organism: Lutra lutra (Eurasian river otter)
Lineage: Eukaryota; Metazoa; Chordata; Mammalia; Carnivora; Mustelidae
Exons: 4
Source: RefSeq, a predicted model, not a curated record
UUUUAUUUUAUUUUAUUUUGCAUUGGUGUGUAAAUGACGUCUAGCUGCCUUUCCGGCCUCAGGGAGGUUUCUAUUUAAUUCAGGCUCUGGAGACACGUCUCUGGCAACCUGCAGCCUUAGUGGCGAGGUUUAUCUGAUUGUGCAUGCAGGCCCACCUCCCUGUUCUGCUUCAGGAGGCUUUGCUAUUUAUUGCACACCCUGCAUUGCACAAGCUGUCACCUCUUCUCUGAAGCUGUCCCAGCCACGUGUCUCUCAACCCCUGCCCAAGCCCUCCUCUCGCGGACUGUGUCACGCACAUGAACAGAACCAGGUACUCAUCAGCUUUUGCUUCCUGACAAUCACCCCACAACUUGUGAGCUUAGAGCAAUAAGCUUUGUGAGCUCACAAUUGAGUGGGUAGCUGUGCGACUCUUGUUUGGGUAUCUUCCUGCAUCCUGUCACCUGUCAGUCAACUAAUCUCUGUCGACAAGGACACAGAGCCCCUGAGCCACGUAGCUCUCAUCUUCCAAUAGGCUGGCCUGAGUGCAUUCACAUGACAGAGGCAGGUUCCCAGGACAGGAGCAGAGAAAAAUGGGCCCUUCAUUUAGCUGAUUGAACCAACAAAGGAGAAGUUUGAGACAGAAAAUGAAUAUAGAUCCAGCUGCAGCAAUUAGAGGGGAAAUCGAUAGAACAUCAUCAAGAGCAUCAGACGCGUUUUCUUCAUUAAUAAAAUGAGAACAACAACAGUACCUACCUUGUAGGGUGUGGCGAGGAUUACAUCAGUAAAUGUGUUAGAGCUUCAAAAGAGUCCCUGGAUCAUAUCCUGUUCAGGUCACAAUGAUAUGUGGGAUUCAUCCCUGCCCUCAAAGCUCUGAUGGUCUUAUACUACCAAUCACGUCACACUGGGCAUCUUCCGUGGAGCUCUGGUGAGGUUCUCUCUGGCUGU